This 459-nucleotide ribosomal RNA is filed under the name Wolinella sp. canine oral taxon 173. RNAcentral's name for it is "bacterial SSU rRNA". It matches the Rfam family "Bacterial small subunit ribosomal RNA", at positions 9 to 498 of the family's 1533-position model. The record is from RNAcentral. Lineage: Bacteria; Pseudomonadati; Campylobacterota; Epsilonproteobacteria; Campylobacterales; Helicobacteraceae.
GAGUUUGAUUAUGGCUCAGAGUGAACGCUGGCGGCGUGCCUAAUACAUGCAAGUCGAACGGUAACAGGAAGUAGCUUGCUACUUUGCUGACGAGUGGCGCACGGGUGAGUAAUGCAUAGGUUAUGUGCCCCAUAGUCUGGAAUAGCCACUGGAAACGGUGAUUAAUACCGGAUACUCCCGAGAGGGGAAAGUUUUUCGCUAUGGGAUCAGCCUAUGUCCUAUCAGCUUGUUGGUGAGGUAAUGGCUCACCAAGGCUAUGACGGGUAUCCGGCCUGAGAGGGUGAACGGACACACUGGAACUGAGACACGGUCCAGACUCCUACGGGAGGCAGCAGUAGGGAAUAUUGCUCAAUGGGCGAAAGCCUGAAGCAGCAACGCCGCGUGGAGGAUGAAGGUCUUCGGAUUGUAAACUCCUUUUCUAAGAGAAGAUUAUGACGNAUCUAGGAAUAAGCCCCGGCA